Molecule: long non-coding RNA, 525 nt
Filed under: Androctonus crassicauda
Lineage: Eukaryota; Metazoa; Arthropoda; Arachnida; Scorpiones; Buthidae
Source: RNAcentral
UUAUGGGCAUCUGAUAUUGAAUCAUUUCCGGUAUGUAGGCUCACGAGCUUAUAAACGAGGUUUAGCUAUGAAAAUUACCGGUAACGUGCCACAAAUAAAAAAAAUUUUUUACUCCUUUUCCUCUCCUUUCUGACCGGAAGUCAACUGCUAAUAUCGUAAUUGACAUUUUCUCAUGAGAAAAAAUAAAAACGAAACCAAAAACAAAACAGCGCCUAAUUCUACCUACAGUAACAGAAUCUUACUUCAAGCUGUAUUCAAGUUAUAUCUGAUAACGUUGAAAUGGAUACAGGUGCUGGUAUUUCUUCAGGUACUGGUUAUUCCAAUACCGGUAGCACCUCAGGACCAACUGGCAGCAGUGUUGAAAAAGUAAUCAGGAAGAGCUGUAAGGUAUUGGACAAACUAAAAGUUUUAUCACGAUUGGAAGAGCUGAACAGCAACGUAGCUGCAUUAAGUCAUGAGACAGGAAUAAGUCGAAGAUGCUUACAAAGAUGGCGGGACGAGAGGGACAAGAUUAAGAAGCGGGAA